Long non-coding RNA from Pantherophis guttatus, 3775 nucleotides. RefSeq lists it as uncharacterized. The record is from RefSeq and is a predicted model, not a curated record. NCBI's taxonomy places the organism in Eukaryota, Metazoa, Chordata, Lepidosauria, Squamata, Colubridae.
UUUUUUUAUGUAAUGGGUUUUUUUUUUUUUGCAAAUCAUAGAGUGAUUUAGGAAAAGGUUCUUUCCUUAGUGCCCCCAUGGUAGUUUUCUCAAAAGCACUUCUAUUUUUAAUAAGCAAAUCGGUUCAUAAAUCAAUAUACCCAUUACAUAACUGGUUUUUAUGAUUUAGAACUUUAGAAAUAGUUUAUAAACAUUUGGACUCUGUCAAAAAUGCGUAUCCUCAAACUCCUGGCCCAUAUGUACAGCCUUGGGGACAUUCUCUUCCCCUUCAACAAUUCCUAUGGUAAUUUCUGAAGUAAUAGAAGGCAACAACAAUAUACCAUGCCAACCAUUCAUAUGAACUUCAUUGAAUUAACUUUCAGUUCAGUUGAGAUUAAAUCCUAUCCAAUCCAAAUUUAUGCCCCUAUCCAUGUUUUGGAGUACAGUUAGUCCUUGAUUUAGAACAGUUCAUUAGUGCCUUCGAAGUUAUAACAGCACUGAAAAAACUGACUUUCGCACUUAUGACCAUUGCAGCAGCCCCAUGGUCAUGUGAUCAAAAUUCAGACGCUUGGCAACUGACUCAUAUUUAUGACGGUUGCGGUGUCCCGGGUUUAUGUAAACCCCUUUUGCAAUCUUUUUGACAAGCAAAAUCAAUGGGGAAACCAAAUUCAUUUAACAGCCAUGUUAUUAAUUUAACAACUACAAUAAUUCGCUUAACAACUGUGGCAAGAAAAGUUGUAAAAUGGGGCAAAACUCAUUUAACAAAUAUUUCACUUAACAAUAUAAAUGUUAGGCUCAAUUGUGGUCAUAAAUUGUCUGAAUAGUCCUCAGCAUACUGGUCCAGAGGCCAAGGUAACCCUUAGUCCCAGUCACUCAUGUUGUUGCAGGUAUAUAAAUGACAGAUCUUCUCUCCUAAACCUGGUGCUUUUGAGAUACGUUCUCAGCCUGGAAUAGGAGUUAUAAUCUCUAAAGGCAUGGAACGCACCAAAUUGGGGAAGUAUAAUCUACAUCAAUGGAAGGCUGUAAUAUCUAUGACCACAGAUGGCAUGUUAACUUAAUAGUAGGAAGGGUAAUAGUAAGAUAUCAGGAAGAUACAAGCAGAAGAAGCUAUUACUUUUUCUAUUUUAGUCGUGCAUUUCCUGGAAACAUUUGAUUGUUUGCUGAAGAAAGAGGUGGAUGAUCUAGAUAGUCUUUUUAUAUGAACUGGCUUAGCUGUUCUUACACUUUUACAAUAAUGAAGCAAAGUUUUGCAGAAAUUGUAGGUCAACUUUUCAAGGCUGUCAUGAAAAGCUUAACCAGGAUUAAAUGACAACAAAAACAAUUAACUCCAAUUACAUAUAGAGUGGAUUUCUGUAAUGUUACGUUGCUUGAAGACAACUCCAUCCUUCCUGCUCUUAAGCUCUUGAAGAUCUCCCUGCCUGUCUGUUUGGCAGUCUCCCUACUUUAGCCACCUACUUAUCUAUAUUCUUGGUGGAAAAGCAAAGUAUGCCUGUAAAAGAGCAUGAAAACUUACUGCAACUUAAUUAUUAACUGGAAAGCUAUGUCUUCAUUGCUUGUUUCAUGCUUGUUCUGCUUCAGGGCAGCUUUGCUAGUAAAUACAGUAAUUGUUAACCAGGACAGGAAGAAAAGUAGAGGAAAGGAGGAAAGUUUAUACUUGAAAACUGUUAUUGUGAACCUUCUUGUUUGGGUGUCCUGGUUUCAUUAUAAAUAAGUAUCUGGGAAGGUAGUGCUCUUAUUACUGCAUCAGGACUCAGCUCAUUAUCUGGCAUUCUUGCUGGGAGAAAAAAUGAUUUUAUAUGUGCAUAAUUAAGAAAUUGAAACCAGUAGCUGCAAAAGGAAAAAGCAAUAAAAAUAAAAAAAAUCCCAUUCCCUAAAGAUCAAUGGUUUGCUUACUUAAAAUAACUUUUUUUUUUUUGGUUGCCUUUGAGUCAUUGUUGACUCCUGGCAACUGCUUGGAAUAAUCCCUGCAGUUUUCUUGCCAAAAAAUUUAAAAGGUGGUUUGUCAUUUGCCCUCUUUCCUAGGGCUGAGAGAGAGUAACUGACCCUGGAACAAUGUUUUCCUAAAAGCAGAAAGGCAGAGCAUGCAUCAUGAAAUCAUAAGUGCUGCCACCUUUCAUAUUUAAUGAGUGAAAUUCAUAUUUUAUUUAUUCAUUAGUUACACGACAUCCACAUAAUACUGAUGUGGUUUCAGUUUUGCCUCACAUUUUGUCCCUCCAUUCUUCUGCUUAGAAAAUCUCCUUCAGGUUCUGAUUAACACUGCUGAUUUCAUGGACGUGUCCAUGUAUUUUUCUGGGUGACAAUUUGGAAGAACUUUACAACUACUUUUUUUCUGGAGUGUUCUUUGGAUUUCCUUGUGUAGCCUACAGCUUUACUGUUACCUUGUAGUCUCCCAUCCAAGUCCUAACCAAGUCUAAUCCUGCUUAUCUCCCAAACCCUAAGAAACAAAAUUAGCCAGGUACUGCCACCUGCUGAGACCUGUUUCUGUUUUAUCAUAACCAACAUUUUGGAUUUUCUUGCCUCUUAAACUUUCUUCUGUUUUUUAUAAUAUUUUGCUGGAUAAAGAGUCUGAAGAAUUCAAGUGCUUGCACACUCUUGGGCUAUUUUAGUUGGCUCUAAACAUAGUCAUGCUCUACUAAGUAUGUUGGAUUUGUGGACUUAGUAAUUGAUCUGUGCUGUAAUAAGUUAACUCUGCUACAGGUCUCAGUUCAGUAACUGGUUGCAAGUUUGGGGGUGCCUGUGAUUUUAAAACACAUCUAUUUGUAAAGUAUUUUCUUAAUGAUUAAUUCUGGAACACAACUUUCCCAUCCUAAAAAAACAAAAUGAAACAACCUCCUGUUUACUUUAAUUUUCUCUUGAGUUUAUUACAAGCUCUAAGCAGGUAGGAAUUGAAAAAAAAAACCAAACCUGUUUCCUGAGCCAUGGACAAGACAGAACUAAAAUAAAAACUGGGAUUGUUUGAAAGAGAAAAAUAAUCUAAGGUGCUUUUGUCUUCUAAAUCCUUUCAGGAGAUCCCUUGUUUUCUCAGGGUACUUCCAAGGGCUAAUUUGCCAAAGUGUUCAGAAGGAAUUAACUGUAGGAAAGAAAAAAAGAAAGAAACAUCACUUAGAAUUGUGGAUGUUUGCUGCCAAGAGAACUUUCAACCUUUGGAGCAUGGAGCCAGGACACCACCGAAAAUCUAACUUGAAGAAAACAUGGCAUUUUAUGGAGAUUCUCAAUCAUCUAGAUCAUGGUUGUCCCAAAGGUUUAAAACAGAGAAACUGCUGAGAAGGAAAAUUUUGAGGUAGCCUUGGAGUUAAGAAAGAAGCAUUUCCACUUAAUUUUCCACCAUAAGAGAUCAUGGAAAAGCCAAGCUGCUUUCACAAUUCUUAUGGGCUGCCACAAAGAAGAAGGAGUCAAGCUAUUCUCCAAAGCACCUGAGGGCAGGACAAGAAGCAAUGGAUGGAAACUAAUCAAGGAGAGAAGCAACCUAGAACUAAGAAGAAAUUUCCUGACAACAAUUAACCAGUGGAACAACUUGCCUCCAGAAGUUGUGAAUUCUCCAACACUGGAAGUUUUUAAGAGGAGAUUGGACAACCAUUUAUCUGAAAUGAUAUAAGGUUUUCUGCCUGAUCAGAGGGUUGGACUAGAAUACCUCCAAGGUCCCUUCCAACUCUUCUCUUCUCUUCUCUUCUCUUCUCUUCUCUUCUCUUCUCUUCUCAAUAUUUAUUGAGACUCCUAGUGAUUGAUUUGUCAAUAGUAAGAACUUUUUAUUCCAAGAAAAUAAAAAUAUUUAAAGUCAUAAUCCUACUUUCCAAUA